RNAcentral lists this ribosomal RNA (153 nucleotides) under Inonotus hispidus. RNAcentral describes it as "5.8S ribosomal RNA". It matches the Rfam family "5.8S ribosomal RNA". From Rfam's summary of the family: 5.8S ribosomal RNA (5.8S rRNA) is a component of the large subunit of the eukaryotic ribosome. It is transcribed by RNA polymerase I as part of the 45S precursor that also contains 18S and 28S rRNA. Lineage: Eukaryota; Fungi; Basidiomycota; Agaricomycetes; Hymenochaetales; Hymenochaetaceae. The record is from RNAcentral.
CAACUUUCAACAACGGAUCUCUAGGCUCUCGCAUCGAUGAAGAACGCAGCGAAAUGCGAUAAGUAAUGUGAAUUGCAGAAUUCAGUGAAUCAUCGAAUCUUUGAACGCACCUUGCGCCCCUUGGUAUUCCGAGGGGCAUGCCUGUUUGAGUGU